Molecule: small nuclear RNA, 190 nt
Organism: Pongo abelii (Sumatran orangutan)
Lineage: Eukaryota; Metazoa; Chordata; Mammalia; Primates; Hominidae
Gene: U2
Rfam family: U2 spliceosomal RNA
About the family: U2 is a small nuclear RNA (snRNA) component of the spliceosome (involved in pre-mRNA splicing). Complementary binding between U2 snRNA (in an area lying towards the 5' end but 3' to hairpin I) and the branchpoint sequence (BPS) of the intron results the bulging out of an unpaired adenosine, on the BPS, which initiates a nucleophilic attack at the intronic 5' splice site, thus starting the first of two transesterification reactions that mediate splicing.
Source: Ensembl
AUCGCUUCUUGGCCUUUUGGCUAAGAUCAAGUGUAGUAUCUGUUCUUAUCAGUUAAUAUCUGAUAUGUCCUCUAUCCAAGGACAAUAUAUUAAAUGGAUUUUUGGAGCAGGGACAUGGACUAGGAGCUUGCUCCGUCCACUCCAUGCAUCAGCUUGGUAUUGCUGUACCUCUAGGAAUGGUGCACCCCUC